Molecule: ribosomal RNA, 470 nt
Filed under: uncultured bacterium
Lineage: Bacteria
Description: bacterial SSU rRNA
Rfam family: Bacterial small subunit ribosomal RNA
Source: RNAcentral
GACGAACGCUGGCGGCGUGCUUAACACAUGCAAGUGGAGCGACGAACCGGGGCUUGCCCCGGGGCAGAGCCGCGAACGGGUGAGUAACACGUGGGUAACCUGCCUCAAUGAUUGGGACAACCCCGGGGAAACUCGGGCUAAUACCAAAUGUGUUCACUCCUUCUAAGGGGAGUGAGGAAAGGAAGCUUCGGCCUCCGCAUUGAGAUGGGCCCGCGGCCCAUUAGCUUGUUGGUGAGGUAACGGCUCACCAAGGCUUCGAUGGGUAGCUGGUCUGAGAGGACGAUCAGCCACACUGGGACUGAGACACGGCCCAGACUCCUACGGGAGGCAGCAGUGGGGAAUCUUGCACAAUGCGCGAAAGCGUGAUGCAGCAACGCCGCGUGGGGGAAGACGGCCUUCGGGUUGGUAAACCCCUUUCCAGUUGGGACGAAGCUUCGUCGGUGAAUAGCCGUUGGAGUGACGGUACCUUC